Molecule: ribosomal RNA, 252 nt
Filed under: Vibrio parahaemolyticus
Lineage: Bacteria; Pseudomonadati; Pseudomonadota; Gammaproteobacteria; Vibrionales; Vibrionaceae
Description: partial 16S ribosomal RNA
Rfam family: Bacterial small subunit ribosomal RNA
Source: RNAcentral
ACGGGCCAAAGAGGGGGACCUUCGGGCCUCUCGCGUCAGGAUAUGCCUAGGUGGGAUUAGCUAGUUGGUGAGGUAAGGGCUCACCAAGGCGACGAUCCCUAGCUGGUCUGAGAGGAUGAUCAGCCACACUGGAACUGAGACACGGUCCAGACUCCUACGGGAGGCAGCAGUGGGGAAUAUUGCACAAUGGGCGCAAGCCUGAUGCAGCCAUGCCGCGUGUGUGAAGAAGGCCUUCGGGUUGUAAAGCACUUU